RNAcentral lists this non-coding RNA (87 nucleotides) under unclassified sequences. The record is from RNAcentral.
CAUUCAUCACCGCCGGGUGAAAAUGCUGAAAGCAUUUGUCUGUACAUCGUCAGGCCUAAGAAGAUGUACCGACAAGUGCUUUUCUUU